CCCUUAGAUGUUCUGGGCUGCACGCGCGCUACACUGGUGCGUUCAGCGAGUUUAGUACCUUAACAGAUAUGUUUGGGUAAUCUUCUGAAAACGCACCGUGAUGGGGAUCGAUUAUUGUAAUUAUUAAUCGUCAACGAGGAAUUCCUAGUAAGUGUGAAUCAUCAGUUCGCGCUGAUUACGUCCCUGCCCUUUGUACACACCGCCCGUCGCUGCUACCGAUUGAGUGGUCCGGUGAAUUAUUCGGACCGGUGGACUGUGGGGAAACCCGCGGCCUGCUGGGAAGUCUUGUGAACCUUAUCACUUAGAGGAAGCAGAAGUCGUAACA
RNAcentral lists this ribosomal RNA (325 nucleotides) under uncultured eukaryote. RNAcentral's name for it is "partial 18S ribosomal RNA". It matches the Rfam family "Eukaryotic small subunit ribosomal RNA", at positions 1470 to 1796 of the family's 1831-position model. The record is from RNAcentral.